Molecule: long non-coding RNA, 648 nt
Organism: Electrophorus electricus (electric eel)
Lineage: Eukaryota; Metazoa; Chordata; Actinopteri; Gymnotiformes; Gymnotidae
Source: RefSeq, a predicted model, not a curated record
AUUCGAUGAACACUCUAUAGAUCUUUAUUUGUUUCUUCUUCUGGCAUCUGUACCAUUCACUUGUGUUGGGUUCAUUUGUACUCUGGAGAAAAUGAAAACUAUUAUAUGUGCUACUCUUCUCCUUCUGGCCUUCAGCUAUGGGGAAGCGCUGAAGUGUAACUUGUGUAUAUCCAGUCCAUUUCAACCCUGCACUCCAUCAGUGCAGAACUGUCGUUACUAUGUCAAGGGCUGCGGGAAUGUGCAGUUCCUAUCUGGCCCACUGGCCUCUUCCUCAAUACGCUCCUGCAUGGACAUGGCCACAUGUAGGAACUACCAGAACAUGCCAAACACGGUUGCCAUUUGCUGCAGCACGGACCUCUGCAACUGAACAGACGACGCAGUACACACAGCUGUCUUAUAGUUCACACCAGAGCGCUAACUAAGCUGAGAAUGAACGGAUUGUGAUACAGGCGCUGCUUUGAGUCUAAUUAAGUCUUAGCUUAAAUUUAAAUUUCAUAAUACAUCAUGUGUAUUAGAUGUUGAUUCAUGUGAUUUUUAUGAAUAAAAAUACAAGUUGGAAUAAUGAAGUGACUGUUUUCUGCAUUCUAAUAUGAUUAAAAGGAGGGAUCAGACUCUCGGAGGCAAUAAAGAGACUUCCUGCUUACUGUA